RNAcentral lists this transfer RNA (59 nucleotides) under Southwellina hispida. Its description in RNAcentral is "tRNA-Phe". The record is from RNAcentral. Lineage: Eukaryota; Metazoa; Acanthocephala; Palaeacanthocephala; Polymorphida; Polymorphidae.
GUCAUUGUAGCUUAUGUAAAGUGUAGUAGUGAAGUUACUGAGAGAUUGUGACAGUGAUU